CACUAAGAAGCUAUAAGUUCAGCGACAGCCUUUUAAGCUGUAGAUAGGUGACUACGCCCACCCUUAAUGA
This 70-nucleotide transfer RNA is filed under the name Nanorana pleskei (Tibetan frog). RNAcentral describes it as "tRNA-Lys". The record is from RNAcentral. Lineage: Eukaryota; Metazoa; Chordata; Amphibia; Anura; Dicroglossidae. RNAcentral also lists the same sequence under 1 other name.